GACGGAGGCUGCAAGCGUUAUUCGGAAUGAUUGGGCGUAAAGCGUGCGCAGGCGGCUGUUCAAGUCUGCUGUCAAAGACCGGGGCUUAACCUUAGAAAGGCAGUGGAAACUGGACGGCUGGAGUCCAGUAGGGGGAGAGGGAAUUCCAAGUGUAGCGGUGAAAUGCGUAGAGAUUGGGAAGAAUACCGGUGGAGAAAGCGCUCUGCUGGACGGAAAUUGACAUUGAGGGACGAAAGCGUGGGGAGCGAAAGGG
This 253-nucleotide ribosomal RNA is filed under the name uncultured bacterium. Its description in RNAcentral is "partial 16S ribosomal RNA". It matches the Rfam family "Bacterial small subunit ribosomal RNA", at positions 524 to 776 of the family's 1533-position model. The record is from RNAcentral.